RNAcentral lists this ribosomal RNA (1434 nucleotides) under Triticum aestivum (bread wheat). Its description in RNAcentral is "partial small subunit ribosomal RNA". Lineage: Eukaryota; Viridiplantae; Streptophyta; Magnoliopsida; Poales; Poaceae. The record is from RNAcentral.
AUGGCGGGUCACCGCCUGACCCUGCUGCUCGUUGCGGUGGCCGCCGCGUUCUUGGCAGGCGCGAGCGGCCGCCACGCGAGCGACUCGGCGCGGUUCCCCCUGCUCCGCCUCGCCGCGCCGGUGUCCCUCGCCGACCUGGCGCGCAGCGACCGGCAGCGGAUGGCGUUCAUCGCCUCGCACGGGCGGCGGCGCACGCGGGAGACCGCGGCGGGCUCGUCGUCGGCCUCUUCGGCUGCCGCGGCCUUCGCGAUGCCGCUCACCUCCGGCGCGUACACGGGCAUUGGGCAGUACUUCGUGCGCUUCCGCGUGGGCACCCCGGCGCAGCCGUUCCUGCUGGUGGCCGACACCGGCAGCGACCUGACCUGGGUCAAGUGCCGCCGCCCCGCCUCGGCCAACUCCUCGCUCUCGCCGGCCGACUCGGGGCCGGGGCCGGGGCGCGCGUUCCGCCCCGAGGAUUCCAGGACAUGGGCGCCCAUCUCGUGCGCGUCGGACACCUGCACCAAGUCGCUCCCCUUCUCCCUCGCCACCUGCCCCACGCCCGGCAGCCCCUGCGCCUACGACUACCGGUACAAGGAUGGGUCGGCGGCGCGCGGCACGGUGGGCACGGAGUCGGCGACCAUCGCGCUGUCCGGGCGGGAGGAGCGGAAGGCCAAGCUCAAGGGCCUCGUGCUCGGCUGCAGCAGCUCCUACACCGGGCCCAGCUUCGAGGCCUCCGACGGCGUGCUCAGCCUCGGCUACAGCGGCAUCUCCUUCGCCUCCCACGCCGCCUCCCGCUUCGGCGGCCGCUUCUCCUACUGCCUCGUCGACCACCUCUCCCCGCGCAACGCCACCAGCUACCUCACCUUCGGCCCCAACCCCGCCGUCUCCUCCCCCCGCGCCUCCCCCUCCUCCUGCGCCGCGGCCGCUCCCCGCGCGCGACAGACGCCGCUGCUGCUCGACCGCCGGAUGCGCCCCUUCUACGACGUCAGCCUCAAGGCCAUCUCCGUCGCCGGGGAGUUCCUCAAGAUACCGCGCGCCGUCUGGGACGUCGAGGCCGGCGGCGGCGUCAUCCUCGACUCCGGCACCAGCCUCACGGUGCUGGCCAAGCCGGCCUACCGCGCCGUGGUGGCCGCGCUCAGCAAGGGGCUCGCCGGGCUGCCGCGGGUCACCAUGGACCCGUUCGAGUACUGCUACAACUGGACGUCGCCGUCGGGCAAGGACGCCGACGUCGCCGUGCCGAAGAUGGCCGUGCACUUCGCCGGGGCGGCGCGGCUGGAGCCCCCGGGGAAGAGCUACGUGAUCGACGCGGCGCCCGGCGUCAAGUGCAUCGGCCUGCAGGAGGGCCCCUGGCCCGGGAUCUCCGUCAUCGGGAACAUCCUGCAGCAGGAGCACCUGUGGGAGUUCGACAUCAAGAACCGACGACUAAAAUUCCAGCGGUCGCGGUGCACGCACUGA